GAUUAACGCUGGCGGCGUGCAUAACACAUGCAAGUCGAACGAUGAAACUUAGUAGACUUCUUCGGAAAGACACUAAGCGGAUUAGUGGCGAACGGGUGAGUAACGCGUGAGUAACCUGCCUUACACAAGGGGAUAGCCUUUGGAAACGAAGAAUAAUACCCUAUAAAACCAUAAAAGCACAUGCUAGAAUGGUCAAAGUGAUAGCGGUGUAAGAUGGACUUGCGGCUGAUUAGCUAGUUGGUGAGAUAAAAGCUCACCAAGGCAACGAUCAGUAGCCGGCUUGAGAGCGUGUACGGCCGGAUUGAGACUGAGACACGACCCAGACUCCUACGAGAGGCAGCAGUUGGGAAUUAUGCACAAUGGGGGUAACCCAGAUGCAGCGACGCCGCGUGAUUUAGAAGGCCUUCGGAUUGUAAAAAUCUUUUGUAUAGGAAGAAAAUGACAGUACUAUACGAAGAAGGUCCGGCUAAUUACGUG
This 477-nucleotide ribosomal RNA is filed under the name uncultured bacterium. RNAcentral's name for it is "partial 16S ribosomal RNA". It matches the Rfam family "Bacterial small subunit ribosomal RNA", at positions 28 to 507 of the family's 1533-position model. The record is from RNAcentral.